GCGCGAACCCGCUCUUCGGAGCGGUAGUAGAGCGGCGAACGGGUGAGUAACACGUGAGUAACCUGCCCCCGGAUCCGGUAUAGCCCCGGGAAACCGGGAUUAAUACCGGAUGUGGCUUUUCCCCCGCAUGGGGGAAGAGUUAAAGGGUUAUGUACCGUCCGGGGAUGGGCUCGCGGCCCAUUAGCUUGUUGGUGAGGUAACGGCUCACCAAGGCAGAGACGGGUAGCUGGUCUGAGAGGAUGAUCAGUCACACUGGCACUGAGACACUGGCCAGACUCCUACGGGAGGCUGCAGUCGAGAAUCUUCGGCAAUGGGCGCAAGCCUGACCGAGCGAUGCCGCGUGGGUGAAGAAGGCCUUCGGGUCGUAAAACCCUGUCACCCGGGACGAAGCCUGACGCUACCGGGAGAGGAAGCCACGGCUAACUACGUGCCAGCAGCCGCGGUAACACGUAGGUGGCGAGCGUUAUUCGGAAUUACUGGGCGUAAAGGGUCCGCAGGGGGUUUGCCAAGUCUGCUGUGAAAGCCCGCGGCUCAACCGCGGAAGUGCAGUGGAAACUGGUGAACUGGAGUGCACGAGAGGAGAGCGGAAUUCCCGGUGUAGCGGUGGAAUGCGUAGAUAUCGGGAAGAACACCGACGGCGAAGGCAGCUCUCUGGCGUGUCACUGACCCUCAGGGACGAAAGCGUGGGUAGCGAACAGGAUUAGAUACCCUGGUAGUCCACGCCGUAAACGGUGUGCACUCGAUGCGGGCGGCAGCCCCGUCCGUGUCCAAGCCAACGCGUUAAGUGCACCGCCUGGGGACUACGGCGCAAGGCUAAAACUCAAAGGAAUUGACGGGGCCCGCACAACCGGGGAGCAUGUGGCUCAUUCGAGGCACGCGGAAGACCUACCCGGGUUGAAUUUAUCUGCCCGCCUGUGAAGCAGCUUCUCUUCGAAACAGAUAUACAGUGCUGCAUGGCUUCGUCACUCCG
Molecule: ribosomal RNA, 970 nt
Filed under: uncultured bacterium
Lineage: Bacteria
Description: bacterial SSU rRNA
Rfam family: Bacterial small subunit ribosomal RNA
Source: RNAcentral